GUGAGUAGCAAGGAUUUUAAAAGGGACGCCGAAGUUGCCUGCUUUCUCCUCGACAGAUGAGCAUCUUGGCGCAAUUGCAGAAGCCCCUGAAAUUGAGAACCUUGAACAGAGGAUCAGCUUUCCAGGAGACUGCAAAUUUAGAAUGAUGGCCCAUGUUGCUUCAAAGGCACCAUACAAAAAGGAAGGGUUCAUGUGUAAAUACCAUAAUUUGUUAAUUUCUGUAAAUAAAUAUAUUGCAAAUAACAUUGUU
Long non-coding RNA from Alosa sapidissima (American shad), 250 nucleotides. RefSeq lists it as uncharacterized. The record is from RefSeq and is a predicted model, not a curated record. The transcript has 3 exons. NCBI's taxonomy places the organism in Eukaryota, Metazoa, Chordata, Actinopteri, Clupeiformes, Clupeidae.